GAUGAACGCUAGCUACAGGCUUAACACAUGCAAGUCGAGGGGCAGCAUGGUCUUAGCUUGCUAAGGCCGAUGGCGACCGGCGCACGGGUGAGUAACACGUAUCCAACCUGCCGUCUACUCUUGGACAGCCUUCUGAAAGGAAGAUUAAUACAAGAUGGCAUCAUGAGUCCGCAUGUUCACAUGAUUAAAGGUAUUCCGGUAGACGAUGGGGAUGCGUUCCAUUAGAUAGGAGGCGGGGUAACGGCCCACCUAGUCUUCGGUGGAGAGGGGUUCUGAGAGGAAGGUCCCCCACAUUGGAACUGAGACACGGUCCAAACUCCUACGGGAGGCAGCAGUGAGGAAGAUUGGUCAAGGGGCGAGAGCCUGAACCAGCCAAGUAGCGUGAAGGAGGACUGCCCUAUGGGUUGUAAACUUCUUUUAUAAAGGAAUAAAAUCGGGUAUGGAUACCCGUUUGCAUGUACUUUAUGAAUAAGGAUCGGCUAACUCCGUG
This 490-nucleotide ribosomal RNA is filed under the name uncultured bacterium. RNAcentral's name for it is "partial 16S ribosomal RNA". It matches the Rfam family "Bacterial small subunit ribosomal RNA", at positions 28 to 507 of the family's 1533-position model. The record is from RNAcentral.